GUUAGGAAUCUUCCACAAUGGGGGCAACCCUGAUGGAGCAACACCGCGUGCUGGAUGAAGGCCUUCGGGUCGUAAACAGCUUUUGUAUACGAAGAAUAUGACGGUAAUAUACGAAUAAGGGUCGGCUAACUACGUGCCAGCAGCCGCGGUCAUACGUAGGACCCAAGCGUUAUCCGGAGUGACUGGGCGUAAAGAGUUGCGUAGGCGGCUUAUUAAGCCAGUAGUGAAAUCUGGUGGCUCAACCAUCAACACAUUGCUCGAACUGAUAGGCUUGAGAAUGGUAGAGGUAGUUGGAAUUUCUUGUGUAGGAGUGAAAUCCGUAGAUAUAAGAAGGAACACCAAUGGCGUAGGCAGACUACUGGACCAUUUCUGACGCUGAGGCACGAAAGCGUGGGGAGCGAACCGGAUUAGAAACCCCUGUAGUCC
Molecule: ribosomal RNA, 426 nt
Filed under: uncultured bacterium
Lineage: Bacteria
Description: partial 16S ribosomal RNA
Rfam family: Bacterial small subunit ribosomal RNA
Source: RNAcentral